GUCGGACGGGAUCCAUCGGAGAGCUUGCUCGAAGAUGGUGAGAGUGGCGCACGGGUGCGUAACGCGUGAGCAACCUACCUCUAUCAGGGGGAUAGCCUCUCGAAAGAGAGAUUAACACCGCAUAAUAUCAACAGUUCGCAUGUUCGGUUGAUUAAAUAUUUAUAGGAUAGAGAUGGGCUCGCGUGACAUUAGCUAGUUGGUAGGGUAACGGCCUACCAAGGCGACGAUGUCUAGGGGCUCUGAGAGGAGAAUCCCCCACACUGGUACUGAGACACGGACCAGACUCCUACGGGAGGCAGCAGUAAGGAAUAUUGGUCAAUGGGCGGAAGCCUGAACCAGCCAUGCCGCGUGCAGGAUGACUGCCCUAUGGGUUGUAAACUGCUUUUGUCCAGGAAUAAACCUAAAUACGUGUAUUUAGCUGAAUGUACUGGAAGAAUAAGGAUCGGCUAACUCCGUGCCAGCAGCCGCGGUAAUACGGAGGAUCCGAGCGUUAUCCGGAUUUAUUGGGUUUAAAGGGUGCGUAGGCGGCCUAUUAAGUCAGGGGUGAAAUACGGUGGCUCAACCAUCGCAGUGCCUUUGAUACUGAUGGGCUUGAAUCCAUUUGAAGUGGGCGGAAUAAGACAAGUAGCGGUGAAAUGCAUAGAUAUGUCUUAGAACUCCGAUUGCGAAGGCAGCUCACUAAGCUGGUAUUGACGCUGAUGCACGAAAGCGUGGGGAUCGAACAGGAUUAGAUACCCUGGUAGUCCACGCCCUAAACGAUGAUAACUCGAUGUUGGCGAUAGACAGCCAGCGUCCCAGCGAAAGCGUUAAGUUAUCCACCUGGGGAGUACGCCCGCAAGGGUGAAACUCAAAGGAAUUGACGGGGGCCCGCACAAGCGGAGGAGCAUGUGGUUUAAUUCGAUGAUACGCGAGGAACCUUACCCGGGCUUGAAAGUUAGUGAAGAGUGCAGAGACGCACUCGUCCUUCGGGACACGAAACUAGGUGCUGCAUGGCUGUCGUCAGCUCGUGCCGUGAGGUGUUGGGUUAAGUCCCGCAACGAGCGCAACCCCUAUGUUUAGUUGCCAGCAUGUCAUGGUGGGGACUCUAAACAGACUGCCUGUGCAAACAGAGAGGAAGGUGGGGACGACGUCAAGUCAUCAUGGCCCUUACGUCCGGGGCUACACACGUGCUACAAUGGAUGGUACAGCGGGCAGCUACAUAGCAAUAUGAUGCUAAUCUCUAAAAGCCAUUCACAGUUCGGAUUGGGG
Molecule: ribosomal RNA, 1248 nt
Filed under: Sphingobacterium multivorum
Lineage: Bacteria; Pseudomonadati; Bacteroidota; Sphingobacteriia; Sphingobacteriales; Sphingobacteriaceae
Description: bacterial SSU rRNA
Rfam family: Bacterial small subunit ribosomal RNA
Source: RNAcentral